This 253-nucleotide ribosomal RNA is filed under the name uncultured bacterium. RNAcentral's name for it is "partial 16S ribosomal RNA". It matches the Rfam family "Bacterial small subunit ribosomal RNA", at positions 524 to 776 of the family's 1533-position model. The record is from RNAcentral.
UACGGGGGGAGCAAGCGUUGUUCGGAUUUACUGGGCGUAAAGCGCACGUAGGCGGAUCGUUAAGUCAGGGGUGAAAUCCUGGAGCUCAACUCCAGAACUGCCUUUGAUACUGGCGAUCUCGAGUCCGGAAGAGGUGAGUGGAACUCCUAGUGUAGAGGUGGAAUUCGUAGAUAUUAGGAAGAACACCAGUGGCGAAGGCGGCUCACUGGUCCGGUACUGACGCUGAGGUGCGAAAGCGUGGGGAGCAAACAGG